CAGUCGCCGCGGUAAUACGUAGGGUGCGAGCGUUGUCCGGAAUUACUGGGCGUAAAGGGCUCGUAGGUGGUUUGUCGCGUCGUCUGUGAAAUUCCGGGGCUUAACUCCGGGCGUGCAGGCGAUACGGGCAUAACUUGAGUACUGUAGGGGUAACUGGAAUUCCUGGUGUAGCGGUGAAAUGCGCAGAUAUCAGGAGGAACACCGAUGGCGAAGGCAGGUUACUGGGCAGUUACUGACGCUGAGGAGCGAAAGCAUGGGGAGCGAACAGGAUUAGAUACCCCAGUAGUCCCUGUCUCUUAUA
This 301-nucleotide ribosomal RNA is filed under the name uncultured bacterium. RNAcentral describes it as "partial 16S ribosomal RNA". It matches the Rfam family "Bacterial small subunit ribosomal RNA", at positions 509 to 808 of the family's 1533-position model. The record is from RNAcentral.